GACGAACGCUGGCGGCGUGCUUAACACAUGCAAGUCGAACGGAAAGGCCCUGCUUUUGUGGGGUGCUCGAGUGGCGAACGGGUGAGUAACACGUGAGUAACCUGCCCUUGACUUUGGGAUAACUUCAGGAAACUGGGGCAAUUACCGGAAGGGGCCUCCUCCUGCAGGGUGGGGGUGGGAAAGUUUCGGCGGUUGGGGAUGGCCUCGCGGCUUAUCAGCUUGUUGGUGGGGUAGUGGCUUACCAAGGCUUUGACGGGUAGCCGGCCUGAGAGGGUGACCGGCCACAUUGGGACUGAGAUACGGCCCAGACUCCUACGGGAGGCAGCAGUGGGGAAUAUUGCACAAUGGGCGGAAGCCUGAUGCAGCAACGCCGCGUGCGGGAUGACGGCCUUCGGGUUGUAAACCGCUUUCGCCUGUGACGAAGCGUGAGUGACGGUAAUGGGUAAAGAAGCACCGGCUAACUACGUG
This 468-nucleotide ribosomal RNA is filed under the name uncultured bacterium. RNAcentral describes it as "partial 16S ribosomal RNA". It matches the Rfam family "Bacterial small subunit ribosomal RNA", at positions 28 to 507 of the family's 1533-position model. The record is from RNAcentral.